GAUGAAGAACGUAGCGAAAUGCGAUAAGUAGUGUGAAUUGCAGAAUUUAGUGAAUCAUCGAAUCUUUGAACGCACAUUGCGCCCCCUGGUAUUCCGGGGGGCAUGCCUGUCCGAGCGUCAUUACAACCCUCAAGCUCAGCUUGGUGUUGGGCCCCGCCGCCCCGGCGGGCCCUAAAGUCAGUGGCGGUGCCGUCCGGCUCCGAGCGUAGUAAUUCUUCUCGCUCUGGAGGCCCGGUCGUGUGCUCGCCAGCAACCCCCAAUUUUUUUCAGGUUGACCUCGGAUCAGGUAGGGAUACCCGCUGAACUUAAGCAUAUCAAUAAGCGGAGGA
This 329-nucleotide unclassified non-coding RNA is filed under the name soil metagenome. RNAcentral's name for it is "partial contains 5.8S ribosomal RNA, internal transcribed spacer 2, and large subunit ribosomal RNA". The stretch from base 1 to 120 matches the Rfam family "5.8S ribosomal RNA", at positions 35 to 154 of the family's 154-position model. The record is from RNAcentral.